Anthonomus grandis grandis is the source of this 898-nucleotide long non-coding RNA. RefSeq lists it as uncharacterized. The record is from RefSeq and is a predicted model, not a curated record. Lineage: Eukaryota; Metazoa; Arthropoda; Insecta; Coleoptera; Curculionidae. The transcript has 3 exons.
CCAUUGAUAAGUUAGUGAGUGUUUGCGUUUAAAUAUGCCCGUUAAAAAUAAGUGCGAAAGCCUAUAUUAAAGGUGUUUGUAGUGCUCUAGCCUACAUUCGUUUAUGGCCUUCUUUUCUUCCAACGUGGACGGUGCCGAUAGAUGCUGGCUAUUGAGAAGCGAGAGAGACGGACGUAGUGACGCUGGAACCCAUGUUUGACAAAAAAGGGGAGUCCGCUUGUUUUGUUUUAACUUCAAAAAAUUCAUCGUUGAAUAAUGGGCAGAAGAUCACGAGUAUAAGUUAAGAAAGGUUGAUUGCGGCAGAGAUUAGAUAAAAUAAUGUAGCCGAUUUGUUUCGUUUUGUUAACGUUUUAUUUUAUUUAAUACAAUUCAAAUGUAGUUUAGUAAAAAGUGUUUUCAUUUCUACACCAAACAACAGCCAACCAGUUAAUAAUUCUAACAUUUUAUGGUCCUUCGUUGUCGGAUUGGCUGUGGUGUUAAAAAAAUAAGAAAUGAAAAUUAAAAAUAGCAGUGUCAGUGCAAGAAAUACGGCGGCGUCAGGGGAAUUCCUAUAUGGCUUUUCACUUGCGGAAGCGCCUGAUAUGGUGUAUAACGAUGAUCUUGACGGCGAUAUUUACAUUGAGCCACCAGAACCCAAUAUAGAGACAGAUGAGGACUGAGCUGACGAGGACGAUGGCGGGCUAGUUGACAAAUUGACAGCUCGACAGUUGCGACCCCGGCCGAAAUAAGAUUAUACAAUAACGAGAGAUUGGGUACCCAAUAUGAGGUUGAAUGUGAUGCAAAUAUAGCAGAUCAGGAAACAAAUACUGUGCCUACUCCGGUUCUUGUGGAGGAAUACACAACUUGGCUAAAAGAUAGGCGAAACCAGUCUAAAUCAUUUAUACCUCAGUGGGAAAAA